UCGAAAGCCUAUCUCAGUUCGGAUUGGAGGCUGAAACUCGCCUCCAUGAAGUUGGAUUCGCUAGUAAUCGCGCAUCAGCCAUGGCGCGGUGAAUACGUUCCCGGGCCUUGUACACACCGCCCGUCAAGCCAUGGGAGUUGGGGGUGCCUGAAGUUCGUGACCGAAAGGAGCGACCUAGGGCAAAACCGAUGACUGGGGCUAAGUCGUAACAAGGUAUC
RNAcentral lists this ribosomal RNA (218 nucleotides) under uncultured bacterium. Its description in RNAcentral is "partial 16S ribosomal RNA". It matches the Rfam family "Bacterial small subunit ribosomal RNA", at positions 1275 to 1500 of the family's 1533-position model. The record is from RNAcentral.